GACGAACGCUGGCGGCGUGCCUAAUACAUGCAAGUAGGACGCACAGUCUAUACCGUAGCUUGCUACACCAUAGGCUGUGAGUUGCGAACGGGUGAGUAACGCGUAGGUAACCUGCCUAUUAGAGGGGGAUAACUAUUGGAAACGAUAGCUAAUACCGCAUAACAGUAUGUAACACAUGUUAGAUGCUUGAAAGAUGCAAUUGCAUCGCUAGUAGAUGACCUGCGUUGUAUUAGCUAGUAGGUAGGGUAAUGGCCUACCUAGGCGACGAUACAUAGCCGACCUGAGAGGGUGAUCGGCCACACUGGGACUGAGACACGGCCCAGACUCCUACGGGAGGCAGCAGUAGGGAAUCUUCGGCAAUGGGGGGAACCCUGACCGAGCAACGCCGCGUGAGUGAAGAAGGUUUUCGGAUCGUAAAGCUCUGUUGUUAAGGAAGAACGAGCGUGAGAAUGGAAAGUUCAUACUGUGACGGUACUUAACCAGAAAGGGACGGCUAACUACGU
Molecule: ribosomal RNA, 503 nt
Filed under: uncultured bacterium
Lineage: Bacteria
Description: partial 16S ribosomal RNA
Rfam family: Bacterial small subunit ribosomal RNA
Source: RNAcentral